CGCGUAGGCGGAUUGGAAAGUUGGGGGUGAAAUCCCGGGGCUCAACCCCGGAACGGCCUCCAAAACUCCCAGUCUUGAGUUCGAGAGAGGUGAGUGGAAUUCCGAGUGUAGAGGUGAAAUUCGUAGAUAUUCGGAGGAACACCAGUGGCGAAGGCGGCUCACUGGCUCGAUACUGACGCUGAGGUGCGAAAGUGUGGGGAGCAAACA
RNAcentral lists this ribosomal RNA (207 nucleotides) under uncultured bacterium. RNAcentral describes it as "partial 16S ribosomal RNA". It matches the Rfam family "Bacterial small subunit ribosomal RNA", at positions 568 to 774 of the family's 1533-position model. The record is from RNAcentral.